RNAcentral lists this transfer RNA (71 nucleotides) under Mesocricetus auratus (golden hamster). It matches the Rfam family "tRNA". Rfam says of the family: Transfer RNA (tRNA) molecules are approximately 80 nucleotides in length. Their secondary structure includes four short double-helical elements and three loops (D, anti-codon, and T loops). Further hydrogen bonds mediate the characteristic L-shaped molecular structure. tRNAs have two regions of fundamental functional importance: the anti-codon, which is responsible for specific mRNA codon recognition, and the 3' end, to which the tRNAs corresponding amino acid is attached (by aminoacyl-tRNA synthetases). tRNAs cope with the degeneracy of the genetic code in two manners: having more than one tRNA (with a specific anti-codon) for a particular amino acid; and 'wobble' base-pairing, i.e. permitting non-standard base-pairing at the 3rd anti-codon position. Lineage: Eukaryota; Metazoa; Chordata; Mammalia; Rodentia; Cricetidae. The record is from Rfam by way of RNAcentral.
GGAGAUGGCUCAGUGGUUAAGAGCACUGGAUGCUCUUCCAGAGGACCUAGGUUGGAACCCCAGCAUCUCCA